RNAcentral lists this long non-coding RNA (1064 nucleotides) under Carica papaya (papaya). RNAcentral describes it as "long non-coding RNA (CPAP_LNC001664)". The record is from RNAcentral. Lineage: Eukaryota; Viridiplantae; Streptophyta; Magnoliopsida; Brassicales; Caricaceae.
GGGCUCCAUUAGCGACCUUAAGCAAUUUCACACAUUCGUUGAUUCAUGAAAUAUCGUUUUAUCAUUUAUUGAAUUUUAAUACCUUGAUAGGAAAUAGGUCCUUACUCGUUUCGGGGUCCGAACACGGCUUCACAGUGCGCUUGCAAGUUGUCCCUAAUUUUCCCUGAAUUUUUUCCGGGGAACUGAAACGCACUACUGGUACCUGCACGUGUUCCAAAAAAUCCCAAAUUAGGCCCAGGGCCCCUUUCGGCCAAUAUCGCAACUCCGGCACGGUGGCUCCGCUGUGCUCCAGCGACGGCGCCACCGCAAGCGGCGGCGGUUCACCUCGGGUUGGUCGUUUCCGGCCGAAUUCGGCCACACUCGCAUUGGUUCCUGCGAUAAAACAACCCUACGGCCCUCGGGGGGCCGAAAAUUUACGGAAAAUCGAAGCUUACGGGCGGUGGUGCUCUCGGGUGCGGCGGCUCUCCGGUGAAGUUCGUGUUUUGGUAAUUCGGCUCCGAUCAACCUAUAGAGAAAAGAAUGGUGAUCACGGUGAUAUAAAAAUUGCAUUAAACGGAGGCCGGGAAGGGCCUCAUCGGAGGCAAAAACUGAGAAGGGACGCGGCGGUGCCGCUGGCUUUCAGUCGCGUUUUCCGGCUAUUUGGCCAGAAUUUUGGCUCUGAUUUGGCCACUGGGGAAAUCAGCGUGGAAAAACGAGUCGGGGGUAUGAAAUUUACCUCGAUCGACGGUCGAAAAUCCCUCCGGUGCGGCGGCGGUCGGCUUCUGGUUCGUCUUCUCCGGCGAGGGCAGGCGGCUAGGGUUUGGGGUCUGGUGUGGGGGUCUUAUUUAUACCCUUUUGCCUUUUGAUCUCAGCCGUCCAUUUUGAUUUAAUCUGGGCCGUCCGUUUUUGAUUAAAUCUGGGCCGUUCGUGCGCGCGAUUGAUCUGGACCGUCCGAUCGCGCGCACACGAAUCGCCAACGUGGUCCGUCCCCGGUCGACGUGGUUUUACCACGUGGCAGGUCCUGGUUGGCCAGGACUGCUGACUGGGUCUGCUGACGUGGCUGCUGACGUGGCACGCACGUUUUU